GACGAACGCUGGCGGCGUGCCUAAUACAUGCCAGUUGAGCGCUGAAGGUUGGUACUUGUACCAACUGGAUGAGCAGCGAACGGGUGAGUAACGCGUGGGGAAUCUGCCUUUGAGCGGGGGACAACAUUUGGAAACGAAUGCUAAUACCGCAUAAAAACUUUAAACACAAGUUUUAAGUUUGAAAGAUGCAAUUGCAUCACUCAAAGAUGAUCCCGCGUUGUAUUAGCUAGUUGGUGAGGUAAAGGCUCACCAAGGCGAUGAUACAUAGCCGACCUGAGAGGGUGAUCGGCCACAUUGGGACUGAGACACGGCCCAAACUCCUACGGGAGGCAGCAGUAGGGAAUCUUCGGCAAUGGACGAAAGUCUGACCGAGCAACGCCGCGGGAGUGAAGAAGGUUUUCGGAUCGUAAAACUCUGUUGGUAGAGAAGAACGUUGGUGAGAGUGGAAAGCUCAUCAAGUGACGGUAACUACCCAGAAAGGGACGGCUAACUACGUG
RNAcentral lists this ribosomal RNA (497 nucleotides) under uncultured bacterium. RNAcentral's name for it is "partial 16S ribosomal RNA". It matches the Rfam family "Bacterial small subunit ribosomal RNA", at positions 28 to 507 of the family's 1533-position model. The record is from RNAcentral.